AGAGUUUGAUCCUGGCUCAGAACGAACGCUGGCGGCAGGCCUCAAACAUGCAAGUCUAGGGGGUGUAGCAAUACAUCACCGGCGGACGGGUGCGUAACGCGUGGGAAUAUACCUAUCGAUUCGGAACAACUGAGGGAAACUUCAGCUAAUACCGAAUACGUCCUAACGGAGAAAGAUUUAUCGUCGAUAGAUUAGCCCGCGUUCGAUUAGCUAGUUGGUGGGGUAACGGCCCACCAAGGCGACGAUCGAUAGCUGUUCUGAGAGGAAGAUCAGCCACACUGGGACUGAGACACGGCCCAGACUCCUACGGGAGGCAGCAGUUGGGAAUCUUGGACAAUGGGGGAAACCCUGAUCCAGCCAUGCCGCGUGAGUGAUGAAGGCCUUCGGGUUGUAAAACUCUUUCGCGCACGACGAUAAUGACGGUAGUGCGAGAAGAAGCUCCGGCUAACUUCGUG
This 455-nucleotide ribosomal RNA is filed under the name uncultured bacterium. Its description in RNAcentral is "bacterial SSU rRNA". It matches the Rfam family "Bacterial small subunit ribosomal RNA", at positions 8 to 507 of the family's 1533-position model. The record is from RNAcentral.